UACGAAGGAUCCAAGCGUUGUCCGGAUUCACUGGGCUUAAAGGGCGCGUAGGCGGCCUUUUAAGUCAGCGGUGAAAGCCUGUAGCUUAACUAUAGAAUUGCCAUUGAAACUGGAAGUCUCGAGUGUGGUUGAGGUAACUGGAAUAUAUCAUGUAGCGGUGAAAUGCUUAGAUAUGAUGUAGAACACCAAUUGCGAAGGCAGGUUACUGAGCCAUUACUGACGCUGAGGCACGAAAGCGUGGGGAGCAAACAGG
This 253-nucleotide ribosomal RNA is filed under the name uncultured bacterium. RNAcentral's name for it is "partial 16S ribosomal RNA". It matches the Rfam family "Bacterial small subunit ribosomal RNA", at positions 524 to 776 of the family's 1533-position model. The record is from RNAcentral.